AUGGCUGCCGGCAGGGGCAUUAACCAGCUUCUGAGGAAAACUCUUCAGAGCCAGUCUUCUGGCUCAUCUCUGCUUUCUUCAUUUCGGGGAAAGCAUGAAGAGUCCUCUGCUGGACUGAGAGCAUUGGCUCUUCUUGGAGUUGGUGCUUCUGGUCUUUUAAGUUUUGGUACGAUAGCAUCUGCAGAUGAAGCUGAGCACGGUUUGGCGGCUGCAGAGUACCCCUGGCCGCAUGCUGGCAUCCUUAGCUCAUAUGAUCAUGCAUCAAUCCGCCGUGGACAUCAAGUUUACCAGCAAGUGUGUGCAUCUUGUCACUCCAUGUCAUUGAUUUCAUACCGUGAUUUGGUUGGGGUGGCCUAUACUGAGGAGGAAACUAAGGCAAUGGCUGCUGAAAUUGAAGUGGUUGAUGGUCCUAAUGAUGAGGGUGAAAUGUUCACACGUCCUGGCAAGCUGAGUGAUCGCUUCCCGCAGCCUUAUCCAAAUGAACAAGCAGCCCGAUUUGCAAAUGGUGGGGCAUAUCCCCCAGAUCUCAGCCUUAUCACGAAGGCAAGGCACGAUGGCCAGAACUACGUGUUUGCUCUUCUUACUGGUUACCAUGACCCACCUGCUGGUGUUCAGAUUCGUGAGGGUCUGCAUUACAAUCCCUACUUCCCUGGUGGUGCCAUAGCCAUGCCUAAGAUGCUUAUGGAUGGAGCUAUUGAGUAUGAAGAUGGUACUCCUGCAACUGAAGCUCAGAUGGGCAAGGAUGUUGUGUCAUUCUUGUCGUGGGCUGCUGAGCCUGAAAUGGAAGAGAGGAAACUGAUGGGUGUCAAAUGGAUCUUCCUACUGUCACUUGCUCUUCUCCAAGCCGCAUACUACCGUCGCAUGAGGUGGUCCGUCCUCAAGUCCCGCAAGCUGGUCCUGGACGUCGUCAACUGA
Molecule: ribosomal RNA, 915 nt
Filed under: Triticum aestivum (bread wheat)
Lineage: Eukaryota; Viridiplantae; Streptophyta; Magnoliopsida; Poales; Poaceae
Description: partial small subunit ribosomal RNA
Source: RNAcentral